UGGGCCACAAACUAACUUUCGCUGCUCUAAAUGUUGCCUCGCUUUAAAUACAUCAAUUAAAAACCCAUCCAUGAGUGCUCUGUUUACUAAAAGAAGUGAAGCAAAUCUAAGAACGGCAGCUAACUCUUGGGAACAUUUGGACAAAGUGACCAUUCCAGUGAAAUUAACACAAAUUGUUUCAAC
Molecule: long non-coding RNA, 183 nt
Organism: Melitaea cinxia (Glanville fritillary)
Lineage: Eukaryota; Metazoa; Arthropoda; Insecta; Lepidoptera; Nymphalidae
Exons: 3
Source: RefSeq, a predicted model, not a curated record